Molecule: non-coding RNA, 30 nt
Filed under: Mus musculus (house mouse)
Lineage: Eukaryota; Metazoa; Chordata; Mammalia; Rodentia; Muridae
Source: RNAcentral
UGAGUGAAAUUAAAUUCUAAUUUCUCUGCC